Molecule: ribosomal RNA, 256 nt
Filed under: uncultured bacterium
Lineage: Bacteria
Description: partial 16S ribosomal RNA
Rfam family: Bacterial small subunit ribosomal RNA
Source: RNAcentral
UACAGAGGGUGCAAGCGUUUGUUCGGAAUUAUUGGGCGUAAAGCGCGUGUAGGCGGCUUUGCAAGUCGGGUGUGAAAAGCCCUCAGCUCAACUGAGGAAGUGCGCCCCGAAACUGCAGAGCUUGAGUACCGGAGAGGGUGGCGGAAUUCCCCAAGUAGAGGUGAAAUUCGUAGAUAUGGGGAGGAACACCGGUGGCGAAGGCGGCCACCUGGACGGUCACUGACGCUGAGACGCGAAAGCGUGGGGAGCAAACAGG